UCCUCACAUUGCUGGGAACUCCGACAGAAGAGCAGUGGACGGCCAUGACCAAGUUACCGGAUUAUAAGCCGUACCCCAUGUAUCCGGCUACCACCUCUCUGGUCAACGUUGUCCCCAAACUCAACGCCACUGGUCGGGAUCUGCUGCAGAACCUGUUGAAGUGUAAUCCGGUCCAGAGGAUCUCAGCGGAUGAAGCUCUUCAGCAUCCUUACUUCGCGGACUUCUGCCCUCCAUAGCUGAUGUGAUCAUGCCCCUCCCCCCCCAC
Molecule: long non-coding RNA, 265 nt
Organism: Nanorana parkeri
Lineage: Eukaryota; Metazoa; Chordata; Amphibia; Anura; Dicroglossidae
Exons: 3
Source: RefSeq, a predicted model, not a curated record